Molecule: ribosomal RNA, 490 nt
Filed under: uncultured bacterium
Lineage: Bacteria
Description: partial 16S ribosomal RNA
Rfam family: Bacterial small subunit ribosomal RNA
Source: RNAcentral
AUUGAACGCUGGCGGCAGGCCUAACACAUGCAAGUCGAACGGUAACAGGAAGCAGCUUGCUGCUUUGCUGACGAGUGGCGGACGGGUGAGUAAUGUCUGGGAAACUGCCUGAUGGAGGGGGAUAACUACUGGAAACGGUAGCUAAUACCGCAUAACGUCGCAAGACCAAAGAGGGGGACCUUCUGGCCUCUUGCCAUCGGAUGUGCCCAGAUGGGAUUAGCUAGUAGGUGGGGUAACGGCUCACCUAGGUGACGAUCCCUAGCUGGUCUGAGAGGAUGACCAGCCACACUGGAACUGAGACACGGUCCAGACUCCUACGGGAGGCAGCAGUGGGGAAUAUUGGACAGUGGGGGCAAGCCUGAUGCAGCCAUGCCGCGUGUAUGAAGAAGGCCUUCGGGUUGUAAAGUACUUUCAGCGGGGAGGAAGGGAGUAAAGUUAAUACCUUGGCUCAUUGACGUUACCCGCAGAAGAAGCACCGGCUAACUCCGUG